Long non-coding RNA from Orbicella faveolata, 829 nucleotides. The record is from RefSeq and is a predicted model, not a curated record. NCBI's taxonomy places the organism in Eukaryota, Metazoa, Cnidaria, Anthozoa, Scleractinia, Merulinidae.
GUUUUAUUUUCAAAUAUUUCUUACCCUAUAUUUUGUUACAUUGAUGCAGAAUUUCUGUCGGAAGAAGAAGCAAGGAAUUUAAGAUUCAAACAAGAGGCAUUUAUCCUGGUGCUAAAGUUACAAGAGGUCCAGACUGGGAAUAUGACAACCAAGAUGGCGGAAUAGGGUCGUUUGGUACCGUGAAGAAAAUCACAAAUUGGAAGGAAAACCCAACAAGUGCAGCGGCUGUCUCAUGGGAGAAUGGUACUGAAAGUACAUACAGGCUUGGCUACCAUGGCAAAGUGGAUUUGAAGUGUGUAACUGCAAACAUUGGUGGUUAUUACUACAAAGGUCACCUUCCAAGUCUAGGCCAAAAGAACAAGACCCAUGAUAUGAGCUGGAUGAUUAGAGCUGAAAAUGCAAAAGCAUCAAGAAGUGCUUUACACAAAGCCUCAAUCAGUGGACAAUGCGAGACUGUUAGAAUGCUGCUUGAAAAUGGGGAAGAUGUUGACCAAACAGACAUGGUAAAUGUACUGUAUUUUCCUUUCUUUUAUGAAAUGGUGCGGGAUUCUUUUCAUGCGGUUAUACCAGUCGGUUAAAGGCAGCCUAAAAGUUCAGAGGGUUCUGACGGCGGAAAUGAAGUUGACUUCCUUUAUAUGUUGAGUUAUUCUUCGAAAGCAAACUGGCUACACGGAAAUCGUCAAGAUAUAUAAAAGCGAAAAUGCGAGGAGAAAAUAACGUACAGGAAAAGGCCGGUGGUAUUAUGAAGUGCAAUUGUUGUUUUUAAAUCUGGAUAUACGAGCAGCGUUCAAAACAAACCUAACCUACGUAGCGUGGGUCUAAAGUCUUG